UCAGUCUAUAAUCGGCUGGCUCCAAGGGAGGGUGGCACGGCAGAGGGCAUCGCAGAGGAGAAGCCGUCCAUGGCAUGGAAGGUGGAAGGCAGGAGGCAGCAAAAGCAGCAAGGCAGGAAGGGAAGGCAGCAGUUGAUUUUCUGUCCCUUAUGUUCCAUCUAGGCUACACACCCUUGGGGCAGGUAGCAGUCACACCCAGGGAGGGCCUUCCCAUUAUCCACACCCAGAACCAUGCCAGACUGAUCAGUGGACUCAUUUAGUAAUCACACACCCCUGAUCCCAGCAUCACACACGCUAGAUCCAGCCACCUCUGAAAAGCCCCACCUAUGACCCCAUGAGGCUUUAGGGGACAUCUAGACACAAGUCAUAACACCGUGAGGUCCCUGAAGAUCACACUUAGGAUUCUGUAUUAUGGCCAUGUGUGACAUGACACCUGGGUCCUCCUUUCUGUCGGUACCUGGUGGAUCUGGGCCAGGAGGUUACAGCUUUAUCAAAUCAUCUGGGAGCUUUCUGCUUCCCUGGAGCCCGAGGGCCAGGCAUGGGGCUCUGCCCUGGUCCCAGCCUGGCCCUCACUGGUGGUCUUCCGCACCCAGUGGCUGCCUCUGUGUCUUGAUGGCUUUUGUUUUCCUCCAUGAGCCAGUCUGCCCAGGAGUCGUCGGCCUCCUCAAUUUGCAGCUGCUUUGCAGGUAACUUCAUCCCUGUCCUGCCCAGUCAGUCCCUUCUUAAUCUCCCAUGCAGUAGUCUGGCUCUGUUCCCUUCCCCAGGCUGGGGAGAAGCUUAGCUCUAACACAGCCUUUACAAGCAGCCAGUUUUUGGUUUGUCCUCUCUUUCCGAAGACUUUUGGUGUUCUGAUUCAUCUUGCAUUUGUAGGCAUCUUCCUGAAACCCAGGCAUUGAGCAAGGCUGGGUGGGUCCCAUCUAGUGUGCAGCCUGCUUGAACUGGAGCUAGGCCAUGUGACUGCCCUUCCACAGCCACCUCUUGGGUCCUGCUGUGCCCAUCCUGAGCUUCCAACCUCACGGAGAUGCACCUAGGUGCUCACGCCAGGACCAGGGUCUUGCUGGCCUGGAAAGUGAAACCCUUCCUCCUCAGCCUCCUGCGCAGGUAGGAUUACAGGUAUACUUCACUGCCCUUUAAGGUAGAUACUGCGGGUCAAACCCAGGCUUUACAAACGUUAGGCAGGAGAUGUAACACUGAGCUACACCCCAGCCCUCUGCUUGCUUUUUAAAAACACCACUUCUCAUAGCGUUUCUUGUUAUUCGACACAGCACAUUUGUUGCCUACAUUACAUUUAUAUUAGAGGUCCCGGUCUAGAAAGAAUAACCAUAGCAAUCACAGUGUGUCAGGAGCAAUGCUACAUAAUUUUGGGGAAAAACCGUUUGAUUAGGCCUAGUUCUCCUGCCUACAGCCCAGCUAUGGAAUUCCAAGACAUAAUUCCAUUUUGUCCUCCGCUCCCAACUGAGACCUCAAUGAUCCGGUGAUGCUGUGAUUCUCCAGGACAGGAAACAUCCUGGGAG
Heterocephalus glaber (naked mole-rat) is the source of this 1514-nucleotide non-coding RNA. The record is from RefSeq and is a predicted model, not a curated record. Lineage: Eukaryota; Metazoa; Chordata; Mammalia; Rodentia; Bathyergidae.